GACGAACGCUGGCGGCGUGCUUAACACAUGCAAGUCGAACGGAAAGGCCUGCUUUCCCUUGUGGAUUGCGGGUACUCGAGUGGCGAACGGGUGAGUAACACGUGAGUGAUCUGCCCCCAACUUGGGUAUAAGCCUGGGAAACUGGGUCUAAUUCCCGAUAGGACUGCAGGGUGGUGCCUGUGGUGGAAAACGAUUUUCUAGUGGUUGGGGAUGAGCUCGCGGCCUAUCAGCUUGUUGGUGGGGUAAUGGCCUACCAAGGCUGCGACGGGUAGCCGGCCUGGGAGGGUGGACGGCCACAUUGGGACUGAGAUACGGCCCAGACUCCUACGGGAGGCAGCAGUGGGGAAUAUUGCACAAUGGGCGGAAGCCUGAUGCAGCGACGCCGCGUGGGGGAUGACGGCCUUCGGGUUGUAAACUCCUUUCGACCGCGAGGAAGCCACCUGGUUGGAAGGGUGGUGACGGUAGUGGUAGAAGAAGCACCGGCUAACUACGUG
Molecule: ribosomal RNA, 494 nt
Filed under: uncultured bacterium
Lineage: Bacteria
Description: partial 16S ribosomal RNA
Rfam family: Bacterial small subunit ribosomal RNA
Source: RNAcentral